UCUUCAGGCAGUUGUUGUGUCUCUCAGCACUUGUUGGGUUCACAACCUAUUAAAUAAGCCGGCUGGUCUUCACCCUCCCAGACAAGUCAACUCAGGGGAGGCAGCAGGGUGCGGGCCUUGGCCAGGGCCAGGGCCAGGGCCAGGGCCAGGGCUGGUGCCCGGGGCCGCGCUGUGAGGUGGGCAGGCGAGGAGCGGGAAGACCAUCUCUGCAAGUGCAGCAUAGCCUCGGCCUAGGACAGCGGGAGUGCGUGGCCAAAGCUGUGAGCAGAGGCACAGGUGGUGGCAGACAGUAGAGGCACCCCAUGGGGAACAUACUGACCUGUCGUGUGCACCCUAGCGUCAGCCUCGAGUUUGACCAGCAACAGGGGUCGGUGUGUCCCUCUGAAUCUGAGAUCUAUGAGGCAGUAGCUGGGGACAGGAUGGCAGGAGCGCCCAUGGCUGCUGCUGUGCAGCCUGCUGAGGUGACUGUUGAAGUUGGUGAGGACCUCCACAUGCACCACGUUCGUGACCGGGAGAUGCCUGAAGCUUUGGAGUUUAACCUUUCUGCCAAUCCAGAGGCAAGCACAAUAUUCCAGAGGAACUCUCAAACAGAUGCUUUGGAGUUUAACCCUUCUGCCAAUCCAGAGGCAAGCACAAUAUUCCAGAGGAACUCUCAAACAGAUGUUGUAGAAAUAAGAAGAAGCAACUGUACAAACCAUGUAUCUACUGUGCGUUUCAGUCAACAAUACAGCUUGUGUUCGACAAUAUUCCUUGAUGACAGCACAGCCAUCAGCAUUAUCUUACAAUGACAAUAAUAUCUGUGACCUUGGAGAUACCUCAUCAUAUCACACAAAGAGAUGCAGAUAGAUCUUUGAGCAUACCUGAUGAACAGUUACACUCAUUUGCGGUUUCCACCGUGCACAUUACGAAGAACAGAAAUGGAGGUGGGAGUUUAAAUAACUAUUCCUCCUCCAUUCCAUCGACUCCCAGCACCAGCCAGGAGGACCCUCAGUUCAGUGUUCCUCCCACUGCCAACACACCCACCCCCGUUUGCAAGCGGUCCAUGCGCUGGUCCAACCUGUUUACAUCUGAGAAAGGGAGUGACCCAGACAAAGAGAGGAAAGCCCCGGAGAAUCAUGCUGACACCAUCGGGAGCGGCAGAGCCAUCCCCAUUAAACAGGGCAUGCUCUUAAAGCGAAGUGGGAAAUGGCUGAAGACAUGGAAAAAGAAAUACGUCACCCUGUGUUCCAAUGGCGUGCUCACCUAUUAUUCAAGCUUAGGUGAUUAUAUGAAGAAUAUUCAUAAAAAAGAGAUUGACCUUCAGACAUCUACCAUCAAAGUCCCAGGAAAGUGGCCAUCCCUAGCCACAUCGGCCUGCGCACCCAUCUCCAGCUCUAAAAGCAAUGACCUAUCCAAGGACAUGGACACCGGGCUGGGUGACUCCAUAUGCUUCAGCCCCAGUAUCUCCAGCACCACCGGCCCCAAGCUCAACCCGCCCCCCUCUCCUCAUGCCAAUAAAAAGAAACACCUAAA
Molecule: RNA transcript, 1512 nt
Organism: Homo sapiens (human)
Lineage: Eukaryota; Metazoa; Chordata; Mammalia; Primates; Hominidae
Gene: AGAP10P
Gene name: ArfGAP with GTPase domain, ankyrin repeat and PH domain 10, pseudogene
Exons: 8
Source: RefSeq, marked validated